GGUGGUUUGUCGCGUUGUUCGUGAAAACUCACAACUCAAUUGUGGGCGUGCGGGCGAUACGGGCAGACUUGAGUACUGCAGGGGAGACUGGAAUUCCUGGUGUAGCGGUGGAAUGCGCAGAUAUCAGGAGGAACACCGGUGGCGAAGGCGGGUCUCUGGGCAGUAACUGACGCUGAGAAGCGAAAGCGUGGGGAGCGAACAGGAUUAGAUACCCUGGUAGUCCACGCCGUAAACGGUGGGUACUAGGUGUGGGUUUCCUUCCUUGGGAUCCGUGCCGUAGCUAACGCAUUAAGUACCCCGCCUGGGGAGUACGGCCGCAAGGCUAAAACUCAAAGGAAUUGACGGGGGCCCGCACAAGCGGCGGAGCAUGUGGAUUAAUUCGAUGCAACGCGAAGAACCUUACCUGGGUUUGACAUGCACAGGACGCCGGCAGAGAUGUCGGUUCCCUUGUGGCCUGUGUGCAGGUGGUGCAU
RNAcentral lists this ribosomal RNA (473 nucleotides) under uncultured Mycobacterium sp. Its description in RNAcentral is "bacterial SSU rRNA". It matches the Rfam family "Bacterial small subunit ribosomal RNA", at positions 574 to 1046 of the family's 1533-position model. The record is from RNAcentral. Lineage: Bacteria; Bacillati; Actinomycetota; Actinomycetes; Mycobacteriales; Mycobacteriaceae.